GGGUCAGUCAGUGCCUUCCUUUUCUUUUUAUUGAAUGUUUGUUUUUAAUGUUUCUGUUAUUUUGUUUGGUUACCCAGAAAAUUAAUAGGAAAGUUUAUUUGAAAUUUGAAAUUUUAAGAAAUUUAUGUUCAUUCUUCUUGUAAAUGAGUACUGAAUCUGUACCGCAUAAUUGGAUCAGUUAAUAUCAUUUUUAAAUAAUUAUCAUAACAAUAUACUACUCUGUGGCAUAGACGAAUAAUAAUCUUUGGAGCAACUUUGGCUGUUUGUUCAUUGAGAAAAUUGAGGAACUAAAGGGAAAGAAAUCAGUCUUAACUGUUUGGAUUAGCUAUUUGCUUAUUUUAUCUGAUGGUUCUUGACAGGGUUGGGAA
Molecule: unclassified non-coding RNA, 368 nt
Filed under: Hevea brasiliensis (rubber tree)
Lineage: Eukaryota; Viridiplantae; Streptophyta; Magnoliopsida; Malpighiales; Euphorbiaceae
Source: RNAcentral